GGGGGGGGGAAACGCCGGCCCAUGUUCCUUGGAACAGGACGUCACAGAGGGUGAGAAUCCCGUGCCCGGCCGGCUGCCUCCUCCCGCGUGAAGGGCCUUCGACGAGUCGAGUUGUUUGGGAAUGCAGCUCCAAUUGGGUGGUAAAUUUCAUCUAAGGCUAAAUACCGGCGGGAGACCGAUAGCGCACAAGUAGAGUGAUCGAAAGAUGAAAAGCACUUUGAAAAUAGAGUCAAAAAGUACGUGAAAUUGUUGAAAGGGAAGCGCUCGAGACCAGACUCAGGCCCGGGCAAACAUCUCGCCCCUCGGGGAAGUGCAAUUGCCCGGGGCUGGGCCAGCAUCAGUUGGCGUGGCGGGACAAAGGCGCGGGGAAUGUGGCUCGCCUCGGGGAGUGUUAUCAGUCCCGUGCUCAAUGCCGCCGACGCCGACUGAGGACCGCGCCUCGGCUAGGAUGCUGGCUUAAUGGCCUCCAGCGACCCGUCUUGAAACACGGACCAAGGAGUCUAACAUCUAUGCGAGUGUUUGGGUGCCAAACCCUUGCGCGGAAUGAAAGUGAGCGGAGGUGGGAACUUCCCCCCCCCUCGCGGGGGGGUGCACCAUCGACCGAUCCUGAUGUCUUCGGAUGGAUUUGAGUAGGAGCAUAGCUGUUGGGACCCGAAAGAUGGUGAACUAUGCCUGAAUAGGGUGAAGCCAGAGGAAACUCUGGUGGAGGCUCGCAGCGGUUCUGACGUGCAAAUCGAUCGUCAAAUUUGGGUAUAGGGGCGAAAG
This 765-nucleotide ribosomal RNA is filed under the name Helvella sp. Its description in RNAcentral is "eukaryotic LSU rRNA". It matches the Rfam family "Eukaryotic large subunit ribosomal RNA", at positions 166 to 929 of the family's 3401-position model. The record is from RNAcentral. Lineage: Eukaryota; Fungi; Ascomycota; Pezizomycetes; Pezizales; Helvellaceae.